RNAcentral lists this ribosomal RNA (253 nucleotides) under uncultured bacterium. RNAcentral describes it as "partial 16S ribosomal RNA". It matches the Rfam family "Bacterial small subunit ribosomal RNA", at positions 524 to 776 of the family's 1533-position model. The record is from RNAcentral.
UACGUAGGGGGCUAGCGUUGUCCGGAAUCAUUGGGCGUAAAGCGCGUGUAGGCGGCUCGGUAAGUCCGCUCUGAAAGUCGGGGGCUCAACCCUCGGAUGCGGGUGGAUACUGUCGAGCUUGAGUGCGGAAGAGGCGAGUGGAAUUCCUGGUGUAGCGGUGAAAUGCGUAGAUAUCAGGAGGAACACCCGUGGCGAAGGCGGCUCUCUAUCUCGAUUCUGACGCUGAGGCGCGAAAGCUAGGGGAGCAAACGGG